CGGGAUAACGGCCCACCAAGGCUGCGAUGAGAUAGCCCGCCUGAGAGGGUGAUCGGCCACAUUGACACUGAGAUACGGCCCAGACUCCUACGGGAGGCAGAGGUAGGGAAUUUUGUGCAAUGGACGAAAGUGUGACGCACCAACGCCGCGUGAGCAAUACAAGGUCUUCGGAUCGAAAAGCUCUGUUGAGUGCUAAGAAACGUCUCGGGGUUAAUAUCUCCGAGGCCUGACGGUACCACUCGAGGAAGCUCCGGCCAACUACGUGUCAGUAGCCGCUAUAAUACGCAGGGAGCGAGUGUUGUUCGGAAUCACUGGGCGUAAAGGGAGUGCAGGCACAAAGGUAAGUCAGAUGUGUAAUCUACGGGCUUAAGCCCGUAUCUCGCUUUUGAUACUGCUUUUUCUUGAGUAGCGGAGAGGGAAACGGAAUUCCAGGUGUAGCGGUGGAAUGCGUAGAUAUCGGCAAGACCACCAGUAGCGAAGGCGGUUUCCUGUCCUCAUACUGACGCUGAGUCUCGAAAGCGUGGGGAGCAAUCAGGAUCAGAUAGCCUGGUAGUCCACGCCGUAAACGAUGGGCAAUAGAUAUCGGGGAAUUCGAUUUCUUCGGUGUCGCAGGUAACGCGAUAAGUGCCCCGCCUGUGGAGUACGCCCGCAAGGGUGAAACUCAAAGGAAUUGACGGGGGCCCGCACAAGCGGUGGAGCAUGCGCUUUAAUUUGAUGCAACGCGAAGAACCUUACCUGGGUGUGACAUGGGAGUGAAAGUUCCUAGAGAUAGGAACCUUUCCUUCGGGAACACUCCACACAGGUGCUGCAUGGUUGUCGUCUGCUCGUGUCGUGAGAUGUUGGGUUAAGUCCCGCAACGAGCGCAACCCUCGCCCUUAGUUGCCAUCAGGUAAUGCUGGGAACUUUAGGGGGACCGCCUGGAACAACCAGGAGGAAGGUGGGGA
This 944-nucleotide ribosomal RNA is filed under the name uncultured organism. RNAcentral describes it as "bacterial SSU rRNA". It matches the Rfam family "Bacterial small subunit ribosomal RNA", at positions 253 to 1179 of the family's 1533-position model. The record is from RNAcentral.